RNAcentral lists this long non-coding RNA (312 nucleotides) under Malus domestica (apple). RNAcentral's name for it is "long non-coding RNA (MDOM_LNC003786)". The record is from RNAcentral. Lineage: Eukaryota; Viridiplantae; Streptophyta; Magnoliopsida; Rosales; Rosaceae.
GGAUUAGACUCUUGCAAUUUCUUUUUCCUUCUCAAAGUCCUCUCAAAAUCACCGUCAAAGUCGAAGAUAUGCUCACGAACAGGUUGUGAGCUACGGGUCAUAAACUAGUACUUAAAAACAAAGAAAACAAAACAAAUCAGCAACUUAAACAGAAACUUAAACAAAAUACAAUAAUUCGAAAGAAAACAAUCCAAGAGAUUAGCAAAGUUGCUAAUCCCCGGCAACGGCGCCAAAAAUUUGAUGUGAAAAAUAAGUUAACACACAAAAUUAAACCCUCUUUUUAUCAAUUGUAGUAAAGUAUGUAAGUAGGGA